Trichobilharzia regenti is the source of this 46-nucleotide non-coding RNA. NCBI's taxonomy places the organism in Eukaryota, Metazoa, Platyhelminthes, Trematoda, Strigeidida, Schistosomatidae. The record is from Rfam.
GUACUGAUGAAGAGUCCCAAACUAGGACGAAAUAGCUGUACAGUAC